GAUGAUGAAAGGCAUGUAGAGUUUGAGCUCACUCCCAGCAGGGAAGACCAGUUUGAGUUUUUUUCCUGCUUCUAGGGUGGUAGAAAGCAGCCUUCAGCCUGAGACCCAUCCCUAGGUAAGUAGCUGAACUGGGGCUUUGUCUGGGCUAAAGUUUAACAACCAGCUAGCUGCUCUUAAUUUCUCCUUAUCAUUAGAGUGCUUGGUAAUCCUAUGGUUGGAGAUUUUGUUGUUUGUUUUGGUCUUUCUCCCAUCAGACUUGACCAACUCUACCUGACUUGGUCAAAUCCAAGUGAGAAUUCAAAAUUACGGGUAACAAAACCUCUCUAAUUUGGCUAAAAUUCAUUGCAGCUGCAAAAGAAGAAAACAAACAAAAAGAACCAAAAACCCAUGCACUUGGUUUCUGUGUUUGCUUCCUGUCUUAAAACACGAAUGUUCUUUCGUUUACUUUUCUUGCACCAUAUACCUCCUCCCCCUUUGCCAUAUGCAGUACCAAAAAGUCUAGAGAAGGCUUCUAAUGACUUGAACCCCCUUAAAGAAUUCAGAACAAAGGUUGCCACUCACCCCUUUUGGGGUGUUUUGUUUUCUUUGUGGAGUUUCAAGAGUCAUGGGUAGAUUCUUCUUAACUCUAAACCUCUAUUUUCCUGUAUUGCAUGACCUGACCUCUUUGGCUUUGACCUUGUUGUGUAUAGUGGUAGAUGAGAGCUACAAAGUUAAGGGGUGGCUGAGCAAGGUUUACAAAAAGUGGUCUUGGCUGUUGUUUUGUUUUCCUUCUAGGAAUUUGUCGUUUAAAGAUCCUAAUUCUAGUUCACAAAUGCAUUCUAAAGGAUCUUCUCUGUUGCUUUUUCUCCCCAAAUUAAGCUCAAUUCAGCUUGUCUGUGUGCAUUUGCAUGAGGAACUGAACUGUUGUUUUCAGUGGUGACCCACUGUGGAGUCCUGCCCACAAAUGGCACAUAUUGAUCCACCACAGAAAACCUCUAGGCCUCAGCUCAGUUCCUCUUUUUAAGAAGAAAACUGGGAAACAAAUAAUCUAAGAAUGAGGAGAAAGCAAAGAGAAUGAUUCCCUUUCAAGCACUCCAUAGGUUUUAUGGCACCUGUACUUGCCAGAGUUUAAGUAAAAUGGAAGUAAUAUGGUCUUUGUGCAUAUUUACAUUAAGAAAGAAAGGGCCCAUGUAAAUUAGUUCAACCAUUGUGGAAGACAGUAUGGUGAUUCCUCAAGGAUCUAGAAUCAGAAAUACCAUUUGAUCCAGCAAUCCCAUUACUUGUUAUAUACCCAAAGGAAUACAAAUCAUUCUACUAUAAAGACACAGGCACAUGUAUGUUUAUUGCAGCACUAUUUACAAGAGCAAAGACAUGGAACUAACCCAAACGCCCAUCAAUUAUAGACUUGAUAAAGAAAAUGUGGUACAUAUACACCAUGGAAUACGAUGCAGCCAUAAAACGGAGUGAGAUCAUGUCCUUUGUAGGGACAUGGAUGAAGCUGGAAACCAUCAUCCUCAGCAAACUAACACAGAAACAGAAUACCAAAUACAACAUGUUCUCACUCAUAUAUGGGAGUUGAACUUUGAGAACACAUGGACACAGAGAGGAGAGCAACACAUAUCAGGGGCUGUUGGGGGGUGGGGAAUGAGAGGAGGGAAUUUAGAGGAUGGGUCAAUAGGUGCAGCAAACCACCAAGGCACACAUAUACCUAUGUAACAAACCUGCACGUUCUCCUGCAUGUGUAUUUCAUUUUUUUUUAGAAGAGAAAGAAAAGAAGGAAAGAAAGCAAGCAAGCAAGAAAGCAAGCAAGCAAGAAAGAAAGAAAGAAAGAAAGAAAGAAAGAAAGAAAGAAAGAAAGAAAGAAAGAAAGAAAAGAAAAAGAAAGAAAAGAAGAGCCUUAAGGUCAACCUACAAACUACAGAGUUCCUAAGUUCUCUUUUUUCUCUAUUUUCUUUUCUGCCUGCUUUAAAUCUGCUGUUAUUUUUCUAUUAAGAUCAAAACCACUGUUUGGAUACAACAGGCUUUUUGUUUGCAACCUGGUGAAUUUGUAUUUGUCUCAUGGCUAAAGUUCUGAAGUAAAAGCUAUAGGAUUUCUGUGUGUGUGUUUGUGUGUGUGUGUGUGUGUGUGUGUGUAUCUAUUUAAAAGGCCUUUAUAAUUUUUAUAAUUUUAUGUUUAAUUGGCAAUUAAAUCCAUUUUGACUUCCCUCUAGCACCACCAGACUUUUUCUCUCUGUACCUUAUGAUAUAAUUUUGCUAUUUGAUUUUUGCCUGAGUUGUUUCCUUUAACAUGCAAACUUAAGGCUAUUUAGCUGACAACUCCCUAGGGGAGUAAAACAGGUUAUUAAGAAUUUGAAAGCCUAAGAUAGGGGAAAAAAGCUCCUUAAGUAUCUAUACGAUGUACUUCUAUCAGCAUGCCUACUAUGUCUAUAUAUUUAUGUGAUGUGUACACAAUUUCUCGCUACUGAAAAUAUAUAAAAGAGUUCUAAUUAAUUGGCUUAAGAUAAAAAGCACUUGAAUCUAAUACUUUAUCAGGAAAAAAGAAAAGACUAGUUGAAUGCUUUCUGAAGUUUAUGUAACAAGUAAAAUCUUUAAUAAAUAAGCUAGCUUUAAAAUUAUUGGUAAAGUAAUAUUAGACAUGUCUUAAAAAUUGCCAGCAUGCAUUUUUGUUUGCAUUUAUUAAUCAAGCAAUUUCAUGCUUAUCCCUGUCAAAUACCAUAAGGUGUCAAAAUUUGCCAUGGAGUUACAAAACUGUAAUAGAAUGAUCUUUGCUUGUAUAAUCUUUAAUAAAUAAGACAUUGAUAUUGGUUUAAUAAAAAUAGUCACAUCUUGAAUUUAGUGAGAUUACUGUAACUUCUAAUUUUGUGGUUUUGGUGGUCUAGUCCACAGGCAGUAAGAUUUAGUUUGAGAAUGAACUGUUAUAAUCUUUGUUUCAAAGGUAAACUAUAAACUAUGUUCCUCUCAACGUCUGUUCAGCCUGUGCCCAGGAUUGAACAAGAACAGUUUGGAGGUUAGAAGCAAGAUGGAGUCAAUUAGGUCAGAUCUUUUUCACUGUCUCAGUUAUAAUUUUGCAAUGGCAGUUCCAUAACUUUAAAUGAUGACUAUUGCAGUUUUCAUAAAUAAUCUAGGUAAACAAUUCCUUUUUAAAAAGGUGAACAAUUGUCAUCUAAUUCAAUGCUUAUUUAAAGAUUAUGUAUAAGACAAGUUAAAAGGAACCAGGAAAUCAGAGAGAUGUAAAGAAAGGUAUAAAAAUAAAGAGGAUAAAGAGGGUUCUUUUUGGUAAGGAAGCUUAAAGAGAAAUAAUUUCAUAUGAGAAAAGAUCUUGUAUGGUAAAUUUAGACCUAAAAUAAAAUGAUUGUUUAAGAAAGAUGGAUGUUCAAAACAAACCAGAAAGUCCAAGCAUAUCAUGAACAGUCUGUAAAAGUCAUAAUAAGAGGAUUAAAAAAAAAACCAACAAACUUUUAUAUGGUCAAGUUGUCUGUAAUUAAAAGGAAAUUAUAAUAGUCUUCCUGAAGAUUGGGCUUCAUGUAAAAAAAAAAAAGCAAUGAUAAACAAAAUAGUUAGAGCGAUGAAAUUUUCUUAAGGGAUUGAUUUACUCUUAUUAAAUUAUAAGAGAUUUUAAUUUUUUUAACCCAAAGUUCAACUGUUUACUCGCUGUUUUCUCUCCCCUUCAACUCGUUUGCAGCUCAUAUAAGUUAUUUUCCUUAAAUUCUAUUUGUUAUGGUCUGAUGCUAACAAUGUUUUCUAAAAGUCUAAAGAAAAUGUUUUCUUCCAAAGUAAUAUUCUGUGCAGUGUAGAAGGUCUUUUCUUUUGCCUUUGGGUAAUUGACCUAACAGAUUUUAUGGCUUAUUGAAACAAUGCUAUGCUGUUAUUAUUAAUUUUUGAUUUGCUCAGGAAAAAGUAUCUGAGAUAAUUUUUUAAAAUUAAGGUUAUUACAUCCAUGUAUAUUUCUGUAGGUGCUUUGAAAGUACCUGUGACAUUAAGUUACAGGCCUUUGACUCCUGGGUCUAAAAAGGACACCAAGGUCUGCUAAAUCUUAAGCACUGACAGCAAUUAAAACCUCAUCUUCAGGCCUGGUAGAAGAUGCCAAUCAAAAUAAACUGCAUUCCUGAGACAUAAGGCCAGAAGUAAAAGCUAUUCAACUCCUCAAGGCUCAGGAACUACCACAGAAGAGGUCUUCAAAAGAUUGUUUUCAGUUUUUUUUUCUUCUUCUUUCCCCCAUUUUUCCUAAUUUGGAGUCACUGAAAACUCAUCUGUGCUUUUGUAAAGCCCUGCGAACUGGAGCUAGAGAAUUUAAACUUCAGAAGAAAAUACCAGCAACCUGUUUACAUACAUAAGCCACUUUCAUACCUGCCUACUGAUGUAUGGACUUCAGAGUAAUGUGGCCCAUAUUGAUUUUCCAGGAUUGUUCUUUUGUUUAUUUUUGUUUUUCUCCCUUCCUCCCCCUAUUUUCUCUUCAUAGGACAUGAAACUUCACAACCUGCUAAAAAUGAACUUUCCUAAUAACUCAGGAAUUAUCUUUCUAGGAAUAAACAAUCCUAGCCAUGAGAUAUCAGAUGAAACUUGAGACCAAAGACUGACUUUCUUCAAAAAGGCUUUCUCAAAAAGAUUUUUAAGAAAAGGGGGGAAAUUUGAAAGGAAAAUAAACCUUGGGGCCCUGAAAUCACUAAGGUAAAGGGGAAAGUCAAGCUGGGAACUGCUUAGGGCAAACCUGCCUCCCAUUCUAUUCACAGUCACCCCUCUGCUCACUGAGUUAAAUGCAUAUCUGAUUGCCUCCUUUGGAAAGGCUAAUCAGAAACUCUAAAGAAAGCAACCAUUUGUCUCUUAUCUACCUAUGACCUGGAAGCCCCUCCCCGCUUAGACUUGUCCCGCCUUUUCCGGACGGAACCACUGUUCAUCUUACAUAUGUUGAUUGAUGUCUCAUGUCUCCCUAAAAUGUAUAAAACCAAGCUGUGCUCUGACCACUUUGGGCACAUGUCUUCAGAACCUCCUGAGGCUGUGUCACAGGUGUACAUCCCCAACCUUGGCAAAAUAAACUUUCUAAAUAAACUGAGACCUGUCUCCGAUUUUGGGGGUUCACAAGGCCAUACUGACUUGUCCCCUGUGUGAAGCCCAGCAGGAUCCUUUCACAGCAAGCUCUUUUCACUUGAACCUUUGUGCAUCAGUGCCUAACUCUUUCACAAGAUAAGGGGUCCUACAGAAUCGAAGCAGACCCACCAGAGGGUUACAAGUUCCUGAUACCUAGUACAACCUGGGAAAGAGAGCAAAAGCCCUUUAUUCCUGAUGCAGCUUCCCCAAUCUCUAGCCAAUUUGCACCA
RNAcentral lists this long non-coding RNA (5294 nucleotides) under Homo sapiens (human). RNAcentral's name for it is "non-protein coding lnc-KRTAP9-7-5:1". The record is from RNAcentral. Lineage: Eukaryota; Metazoa; Chordata; Mammalia; Primates; Hominidae.